Molecule: unclassified non-coding RNA, 224 nt
Filed under: Hevea brasiliensis (rubber tree)
Lineage: Eukaryota; Viridiplantae; Streptophyta; Magnoliopsida; Malpighiales; Euphorbiaceae
Source: RNAcentral
AAAAAAUAGCAGUUUGAAAUACAAUGACUAUAUCAUGAUCGAUCUUUGCAUCUCUAGCAGUCACAGAGUUGUGUAAUUAAAUAGGGUUCCUGAUCCACCAUUUCCUUCUUUUUUAUCCAUUGAUAGCUGAAGAAUACUGAAUUGUUACUUUUUGACCGAUUCAUUUGGUGAUUCUUGCAUUCCUCCAUCUGUAUACAUUAUGUCCCUCUGGUUUCAGUGAUGAG